GAUCUGAUGAUUGUGUGUAUUUAAAAUCCUGUCAUCAGCACACUAGACCAGUCAUACCACUAUGCACUUGACAAUGAAAACAGAAUUGGUGAAGCAAUACUGUGGUAGUUCUACUUUCCUCCCACCAGUGAACCCUUUCAGAAUGGCUUGAGCUGGCAACAAAGCACGAAGCCAUGGCUCAGCAGUGCCACGCUGGGGGAAAGAGUCCCUUUACCACCUUGUUUUCUACAUAGAGGUAGUGUAACUGACUGUAUUUAAAAAAAAAGAUAAUCACAGAGAUACAGAGUAUGUCCAGAGGAAGGCAGUAUAGUGUUAUAGUUAAAAGUAUGCAUAGGCUUUAGAAUUAGACGUGCUUAGAUUUUUAUUUUUGGUUAAUCUUUGUAAGAACACCCAAAUGAGAAUAAUACCAGUAGUCUCUUCAUAGGGCUGCUGAAGCAUAAAGGAGAAAAGGCAUGUAAGAAAUCAAUAAUGUCAGCUAUUAUUAUUACCUUGACAUUCAUCUCUAAUUUCUAAAAUGUAACCUUCCUUUUAGAUGUGGUAUCUAUGUGCUCUUCAGUGACAUCAAAAUUCAUACUGAUAGGAUACCAGUUUUGAAGUAUCAUACAGCUUCUACUCCCAUCUCCACCCCUACUUCCCUGAUUUUGUAAAGUGAUUUGGUUUCGAUUAAAUAUUGUAAAGGAAAUAAUCAAGUACAAAUAAGAUGACUAUAGAUUCCAGUUUGCCCAGAACAGUCUUGGCUUAUGACUAUUAAACUGGCAUAAUUAAUAAUAGAGUCUCCUUUCCCUGUUACAGUGCUCUGGCUUGAAUGGGAAAUAAUUUGAUCAUCGUAUAUAUAACACGAUGUUGAAUGCUACCCUGGCAAACAGGUCAACUCAGUCAAACUGGUUUCUUCAUGUAGAUACUGCCUUACUAUGGAAAUGAAGGUGGAAACAUUCAUCUUUGUCAGAAAUUAUGUCAAAUUAUUCAAAUUUAUUGGUGAAUUACAACAAACAUCCCAGCUGAUGAACAUCUCAGUCAUAUGUUUUUUAGAGAACACUUAUGGUCCUGAAAAGAUAACAUUGCAAUGAGCUUUCCCAUUCUGAAGCAAAGAUGUUUGGAUAGAGAAUGGGGUCUGUUAUUCAAGAUAAUAAUUUAUUUCAAUCAUAAAAAUUACAAAGAUAUCCAGAACUGUAAGUAUCAAAAUAUAUCCCUUUAGAUAGUGUUGCUGUUGUUUUCUUUCCCCCUCUCCUUGUUAUGGUCCUCUUUCAAGACUCUUACGAAGCUGUCUCUAAGACCCUUUCUGUCAGUUUCCAUCUUUUCUAUAGACAUACUAUAGCCUUCACAUUAACACUGCUUCUCUGGCUUGAGGUAAUAAACGAUUAGCUACAGCACAGUGGUGUGAUGUUCAUGUUAUUCUUUGCUGUACUACACCUAGCCAAUGUUUCAAAAAUUAAUGCAAGUAUAUCAGGAUCUGAAAUUAACUUUUUAUAGCCAAAAGCAACAUCCUGCUAGGAGGAGAAAAACCUAUUAUAAAUGGGCUGGCAUCUGAUUGCUUGUACAUGGUUAGUACCAGGAAACUAACAUUUCAAAUUAUAAAGCGUUGAAUAUAACAAAAGCUGCCCCAUAUUGAUUAAUCACUGUUUUGUUUAUGAACUGAUAAGGUCUAACUAGGUAGUAUCUAUUAUUAGUAAGUCACAGAUCUAUUACUAAAGAUCUGAGAUGAACCUAAAUUGGCUAAUGUUUUUAUGAUGUUAUAUAGAAAUAAUUAGAAAAAAAUACCAGCAUGAAAAAUAACAGCAUUUCCCCCGAACUGUAUAUUAUCUUGGGAUAUAUUUUUUCCAGGUAAUUAUUUAAAACUAGUCACUAAAAAUAUAUUCAAAAGUAUAUGUUAUUCAAUAAGCACUAUCAAAAAAUCACUUUGAAAAAUGCGAACAGAAAAAAUCAACCUAGGAUAAUGCACAUAUCUAUUUCUCUUUGAAAAAUUUUAAAUAAUUUCUAAUUGAAGUACCUAUAUAGGAGAAAUCAAUUUAAUGUGCUACAAAGCAAAGGUAUUUAAAAAUUUUAUUUAAAACUGCCCAUGUGUUUAUAUUCAGUUAUUUUACUGGUGUUUAGACCAAGCUUGACUAUAGUGGUAAUCUUUUUUGUUUCUUUUCAUUCAGGAUGUAAAACAUAUGCUAUGAAAACUUUAAAAUCUGCAAGAAUACUUUAUUUAAAUUACUCAUGUUAAAAAUCAAUACCUUUAGCUAAUAAAAAUAGGGCAUGAUUUAACUGCAUAUUUUCACACACACACACACACACACACACACACACACACACACACACGCACACAAAGAUACAGCUAUAACUCUAGAGGAGAAGGAUAUAAAAUUUUACCAGUUCUGGCAUGUUUAAUUAAUUAGGAGAACAGUGUAAAAUAGUUGUCUAUAUUCCUUAGGCUACUGAUUGCUUUCUACAUUUGGAAGAUGGGGGACAAGACGGGAGAGGAGGGAGUUUUAUUUUAAAAGUGCGUAUUAAAACAAAAAUGUUAUUAAUGUCCUUAGAGAUUACAGGUGGUGCUAUAGAUUGAAACAUGAAUAUUUAGGCUUAGAAUGGACACUAAAAUUCUAAAAAAUAAAUGGAGCAAAUCUUUAUAUUUUAAAAAGAUUUCAAGCUAUAAUUAUCGAUUGAAAAUGUUUACUUAAUUAUGUUGUCACUUGAUUUUCAACUAGUAGCCACAGCUCUAAUCUAUAAAUAGAGUUAGGAAUGGUAGCACAUCAAUUUUUCUCUUUCAUUUUUAAAUGAUCAGCUGAAAUAGAGAAUGAAAUGCAAUCUUUAAUAUAGUUUUAAAAGACUUUAAGUUACUUUUGAACUACGAACAUGUGAAAAAUUACAAAUAGGAUCACUGACAGUAAUUUUUAUAAGUAAAAAGGUACAAAUUGUUGCUAUUUGUGCUCUUCAUUCUUAAUCCUUUGCUUAUCUUUCUUUUGACCUUUAUCCAAAUGAAUCACACUAACUCUUGAAUGCUUUCUCUCACUUGAUUUCUAAAGCUGUUCAUCACACUUGCUGGCUAGAAGCACAGCUGGCAAGGGAUCUAAGCCUCAUCACUGGGCAAACUUGCCCUUCUGGUUUUGCCAAGAAUGACAUUUCCAAUGGAAGAAAAAGUUACUGUAUGGGACACUGGAUACUCUAUUUAUUUGUGAGAACCAAUAGCUCCAACCCCCUUUGUUAGCACUACAUAU
Long non-coding RNA from Homo sapiens (human), 3197 nucleotides. Lineage: Eukaryota; Metazoa; Chordata; Mammalia; Primates; Hominidae. The record is from Ensembl.